This 103-nucleotide small nuclear RNA is filed under the name Cervus elaphus hippelaphus. The record is from RNAcentral. Lineage: Eukaryota; Metazoa; Chordata; Mammalia; Artiodactyla; Cervidae.
GUGCUCGCCUCGGCAGCACAUAUACUAAAAUUGGAACAAUAGAGAGAAGAUUAGCAUGGCCCCUGCAAGGAUGACACGCAAAUUCGUGAAGCGUUCCAUAUUU